This 1413-nucleotide long non-coding RNA is filed under the name Musa acuminata (dwarf banana). RNAcentral describes it as "long non-coding RNA (MACU_LNC001814)". Lineage: Eukaryota; Viridiplantae; Streptophyta; Magnoliopsida; Zingiberales; Musaceae. The record is from RNAcentral.
GAGAAAAUUUGUUUUAUCAUUGAUGUACUAUAACAAGCAAAGAAGACAAACAAUAGCAGUGAACAUUUAAAUUGAUGUGAAUGCACUCUAUCAAUAGAUAUGCAAGGUGCUAAAUUGCAGCAGCUACUUGAGUAAUAGGAACAUAUAAAGUGUCACUGAACAAGAAAAAAGGCCUUUUAAUAUUUAAAGGACACACACACACACACAUAUGUGUGUGUGUGUGUACAUAUAUAUACAAAAGGCAAGUUGGUCCAAAUUUGAGCAAAAGAAAUACACUGUGAAGAAAGCAUUACAUUGUCUUCAUGGUGGUGGUCUAUACUUUGUAACUUGAUUUCUUAAAAUAACCUCAAAAGGUUUCUACCUAUUAGCAAAGCAUCAAUCUCUAAGAAAGAUUGUGUACAUAGUGUUCAAGAGAUAUACACUAAUGAAUGCCAUUUGCUGUAUGAUUUAGUGUUGAUUAAUGAACUAUGAAGAUCAAAUUUUGAAGUAGCAUUGCUGUUUCUGAAAACAAAAACAAAAAAACAAAAGUCAUAGCAAAGCCUACAUAUUGUUAUGAGGAAAAAGCUAUUAAGAAACAGCUAUUAAGUUUUCAGUUAAUUGGUCAACUCAAGAGGUACCUAUGGAAUGCGUUCCAAUUUGGAGACUUGGAGAAGCUAAUAAAAAGCAUUACGGCCAUAUGUGAUGAAUGGUUGAUAUGUAAAGAGUCAGGUCAAACAGAAGCAUAUAACAGAAAUGAGAAUACCUAAGAUUCAUGUCUUAGGAACCAGGAAUACAUAUUCGGCAAUGGUGAAAGGAAUGUGGCAGUCAUUGGAAAAUCAUUUGAGCCGCACGGUUAUUAUCAAUGAAAAUCUCAUAGAAAAGUAAGAGUGUGACCAAGGGCAACUUGAUAGGUCCGGAUGACAAGCUGAAAGGUAACAAGCAUUAAAAUUGUAUCACAUCUGAUCCAUCAAAAGUGAAAAUAACACUAGAAUUCUUCGAUAGGUGUAACAAUUACUAUGAAACAAUAUAGUAUCUCUAAUUGCUAACGGAAGAACAUAAUAUAUUUAAUCCUAAGCAUCAUUUAUUAUGGGGAAACUUUUUUUCUAAGGAAGAAUGAGUGUGAUAAAUUAGAUUGCAUAAGUUGAACAUAUUGGAUAUAAAAUUUUGCUAGGUGAAUUUUGAUAAACUUUUGCUGCUACCCUUUUCUUUAUAUGUAAACUGUGACCACCACUUCUUUCUUCAUCAUUCUAUGAUGUUCCUUGAUAUGUACAUCCAUCACGACCGUUUUCUAGAAGUGGCAGUUAGUUUCAACUGUCAACCAAAACUGAAGAAACCAAAGAGACAACUUACAAAAUAGCAAGUUUUAUUAUUCAAGAUAAUUAGAGAAGAUCAUAUUGCUAACUUAUGCUAUUUACUUGAACAUUUACAAACUGG